This is a long non-coding RNA of Mustela erminea (ermine), 186 nucleotides long. RefSeq lists it as uncharacterized. The transcript has 3 exons. The record is from RefSeq and is a predicted model, not a curated record. NCBI's taxonomy places the organism in Eukaryota, Metazoa, Chordata, Mammalia, Carnivora, Mustelidae.
AUCUUCUGGUGGGAGCCUUGUUCAUAGGCAGCCUGCAUGGCAGGAGCGAUGAGGAAACUGAAUCAUAAAGACAUUAUGUGAAAAUAUGUUCAAGUGCUUGGAACAGAAGCUGGUGUCACAGACUUGUCUCAAUAAAUAUGUAGCUCUAUACAAAACCGAAAAUAAUAAAUAGAAACUUUCAUCCUG